CCCUGGCUCAGGAUGAACGCGGGCGGCGUGCUUAACACAUGCAAGUCGAACGAUGAUCCGGUGCUUGCACCGGUGAUUAGUGGCGAACGGGUGAGUAACACGUGAGUAACCUGCCCUUAACUCUGGGAUAAGCCUGGGAAACUGGGUCUAAUACCGGAUAUGACUCCUCAUCGCAUGGUGGGGGGUGGAAAGCUUUAUUGUGGUUUUGGAUGGACUCGCGGCCUAUCAGCUUGUUGGUGAGGUAAUGGCUCACCAAGGCGACGACGGGUAGCCGGCCUGAGAGGGUGACCGGCCACACUGGGACUGAGACACGGCCCAGACUCCUACGGGAGGCAGCAGUGGGGAAUAUUGCACAAUGGGCGCAAGCCUGAUGCAGCGACGCCGCGUGAGGGAUGACGGCCUUCGGGUUGUAAACCUCUUUCAGUAGGGAAGAAGCGAAAGUGACGGUACCUGCAGAAGAAGCGCCGGCUAACUA
This 475-nucleotide ribosomal RNA is filed under the name Micrococcineae bacterium CL3.117. RNAcentral's name for it is "bacterial SSU rRNA". It matches the Rfam family "Bacterial small subunit ribosomal RNA", at positions 17 to 503 of the family's 1533-position model. The record is from RNAcentral. Lineage: Bacteria; Bacillati; Actinomycetota; Actinomycetes; Micrococcales.